AUAAACGCUGGCGGCGUGCAUAACACAUUCAAGUCGAACGGGAAUCGAAUGAUUGAGACUUCGGUUGAUAGAUUUCGAGGAUAGUGGCGGACGGGUGAGUAACGCGUGAGCAACCUGCCUUCAUGAGGGGGAUAACAGUUGGAAACGACUGCUAAUACCGCAUAACGUGCGUAGAUGGCAUCUGAAACGCAUCAAAGGAGCAAUCCGCAUGAAGAUGGGCUCGCGUCUGAUUAGAUAGUUGGUGAGGUAACGGCCCACCAAGUCGACGAUCGGUAGCCGGACUGAGAGGUUGAACGGCCACAUUGGGACUGAGACACGGCCCAGACUCCUACGGGAGGCAGCAGUGGGGAAUAUUGCACAAUGGGGGAAACCCUGAUGCAGCGACGCCGCGUGAGCGAAGAAGAUCUUCGGAUUGUAAAGCUCUGUCUUAGGGGACGAUAAUGACGGUACCCUGAGAGGAAGCCACGGCUAACUACGUG
This 479-nucleotide ribosomal RNA is filed under the name uncultured bacterium. RNAcentral's name for it is "bacterial SSU rRNA". It matches the Rfam family "Bacterial small subunit ribosomal RNA", at positions 29 to 507 of the family's 1533-position model. The record is from RNAcentral.